RNAcentral lists this ribosomal RNA (774 nucleotides) under uncultured Neocallimastigales. Its description in RNAcentral is "partial large subunit ribosomal RNA". The stretch from base 5 to 693 matches the Rfam family "Eukaryotic large subunit ribosomal RNA", at positions 24 to 664 of the family's 3401-position model. Lineage: Eukaryota; Fungi; Neocallimastigomycota; Neocallimastigomycetes; Neocallimastigales. The record is from RNAcentral.
CAUAGCGACUAUCGUGGCAUAUCAAUAAGCGGAGGAAAAGAAACUAACAAGGAUUCCCUUAGUAACGGCGAGUGAAGCGGGAAGAGCUCAAAUUUGAAAUCUUCAAGGUUUUACCUUGACGAAUUGUAGUUUAAAGAAGUGUUUUCUGUUGGAGUUUUGGUAAAAGUUCUUUGGAAUAGGACAUCAUAGAGGGUGAGAAUCCCGUAUUUGACUAUUCUUUCUAGCUGUGUGAUACACUUUCAAAGAGUCGGAUUGUUUGGGAAUGCAGUCCAAAAUGGGUGGUAAAUUUCAUCUAAAGCUAAAUAUUGGCGAGAGACCGAUAGCGAACAAGUACCGUGAGGGAAAGAUGAAAAGAACUUUGAAAAGAGAGUUAAACAGUACGUGAAAUUGUCAAAAGGGAAGCGUUUGACACCAGUGUUGUUUUCUCGAAAAUCAAUUAAAAAUGAUGGGAUUUUGUGUUGUAUUGACUUUAUCAGCUUUCUGCACUUUUUUCUUAUCUUUUUUAAUGCACUUUUCGUUUAACAAGUCAACAUCAAUUUCUUUUGUUGUAAAAGAGUCAUUGGAAGGUGGCUUUUUCUUCGGAAAAAGUGUUUAUAGCCUUUGGCUUCUGCAAUCGGAGAGAUUGAGGUCUGCAGCGUAGAUCCUUCGGGGUUAGAUACAUUUGUGCUAAGCUAUAGUUCUUUAUAGACAACUUGUUGACUAUAAUCAAUCCUGUAACUUACUCGCUUAUGCUAUUUUACCUACGCUUAGGAUGUUGAUAUGCAUGACUGAUAU